UCAAGCAGAUGAGAAGGGACAUAGAAGAA
Molecule: non-coding RNA, 29 nt
Filed under: Homo sapiens (human)
Lineage: Eukaryota; Metazoa; Chordata; Mammalia; Primates; Hominidae
Source: RNAcentral